UCCCUGGCAGUCCAGUGGUUAGGACGUGGCACUUUCACUGCCAGGGCCUAGGUUUGAUUCCUGAUCAGGGAA
This 72-nucleotide transfer RNA is filed under the name Bos taurus (domestic cattle). It matches the Rfam family "tRNA". From Rfam's summary of the family: Transfer RNA (tRNA) molecules are approximately 80 nucleotides in length. Their secondary structure includes four short double-helical elements and three loops (D, anti-codon, and T loops). Lineage: Eukaryota; Metazoa; Chordata; Mammalia; Artiodactyla; Bovidae. RNAcentral also lists the same sequence under 3 other names. The record is from Rfam by way of RNAcentral.